UACAGAGGUCCCAAGCGUUGUUCGGAUUCAUUGGGCGUAAAGGGUGCGUAGGCGGCUCGGUAAGUCGGGUGUGAAAUCUCGGAGCUUAACUCCGAAACUGCAUUCGAUACUGCCGUGCUUGAGGACUGGAGAGGAGACUGGAAUUUACGGUGUAGCGGUGAAAUGCGUAGAUAUCUGGAGGAACACCGGUGGCGAAGGCGGCAUCCUGGACCGACACUGACGCUGAGGCGCGAAAGCUAGGGGAGCAAACGGG
This 253-nucleotide ribosomal RNA is filed under the name uncultured bacterium. RNAcentral describes it as "partial 16S ribosomal RNA". It matches the Rfam family "Bacterial small subunit ribosomal RNA", at positions 524 to 776 of the family's 1533-position model. The record is from RNAcentral.